UACGUAGGGUGCGAGCGUUGUCCGGAAUUAUUGGGCGUAAAGAGCUCGUAGGCGGUGUGUCACGUCGGCCGUGAAAACCUGCAGCUUAACUGUGGGCUUGCGGUCGAUACGGGCAUGACUGGAGUUCGGCAGGGGAGACUGGAAUUCCUGGUGUAGCGGUGAAAUGCGCAGAUAUCAGGAGGAACACCGGUGGCGAAGGCGGGUCUCUGGGCCGAUGACUGACACUGAGGAGCGAAAGCCAGGGGAGCAAACGGG
RNAcentral lists this ribosomal RNA (255 nucleotides) under uncultured bacterium. Its description in RNAcentral is "partial 16S ribosomal RNA". It matches the Rfam family "Bacterial small subunit ribosomal RNA", at positions 524 to 776 of the family's 1533-position model. The record is from RNAcentral.